CGGAGUGUAGUAUAGCGGUAGUAUACACGAUUCGGGUUCGUGUGACCCGGGUUCGAUUCCCGGCACUCCGA
Molecule: transfer RNA, 71 nt
Filed under: Patescibacteria group bacterium
Lineage: Bacteria
Description: tRNA-Pro
Rfam family: tRNA
About the family: Transfer RNA (tRNA) molecules are approximately 80 nucleotides in length. Their secondary structure includes four short double-helical elements and three loops (D, anti-codon, and T loops). Further hydrogen bonds mediate the characteristic L-shaped molecular structure. tRNAs have two regions of fundamental functional importance: the anti-codon, which is responsible for specific mRNA codon recognition, and the 3' end, to which the tRNAs corresponding amino acid is attached (by aminoacyl-tRNA synthetases). tRNAs cope with the degeneracy of the genetic code in two manners: having more than one tRNA (with a specific anti-codon) for a particular amino acid; and 'wobble' base-pairing, i.e. permitting non-standard base-pairing at the 3rd anti-codon position.
Source: RNAcentral